AAGUCGUAACAAGGUUUCCGUAGGUGAACCUGCGGAAGGAUCAUUAACACGUAUCCAACGUUAAAAACCCCGUGCAUUUUAACCCUGCUCUUCCUCAAAAAGCAAUCUCUGAUAAAUCAUAGCUAGCGAACAGUUUGAUUCAGAGACUUCUUCAAGACGUGGGGAUGGAGCGGUAGAGCAAAUAGACUUGGUCCCCGAAAGGAUAACUGAUACUUACUCAGGUCGUUGACCCUCACGGUCAACGGACAGGUCUCUGGGGCUUCGGCUCCCCAUAUAUUGUGAAAGUCGGACUUGCAAACUACAGGCCCACAGAACGUACAACUGUUAUAUUAACCCCGUAUUGUGAACGUCGGGCGUGCAAACUACAGACCCACAAACGAACAACUGUUAACAAUGGAUAACGAUGAAGAAC
RNAcentral lists this unclassified non-coding RNA (412 nucleotides) under fungal sp. Its description in RNAcentral is "partial internal transcribed spacer region". The stretch from base 1 to 46 matches the Rfam family "Eukaryotic small subunit ribosomal RNA", at positions 1786 to 1831 of the family's 1831-position model. Lineage: Eukaryota; Fungi. The record is from RNAcentral.